This 1225-nucleotide ribosomal RNA is filed under the name Tetartopeus terminatus. RNAcentral describes it as "16S ribosomal RNA". The stretch from base 572 to 1225 matches the Rfam family "Archaeal large subunit ribosomal RNA", at positions 1423 to 2769 of the family's 2987-position model. Lineage: Eukaryota; Metazoa; Arthropoda; Insecta; Coleoptera; Staphylinidae. The record is from RNAcentral.
AAAUUUAUUUAUUAUAUUAAAAAAAGUAUUUUUGAUUUUUAUUAUUUAAAAGAAUAAAUUAAUUUAAUUAUAGUUUAUUAGUAAAGUGAUUGAAAUUAAAUUAAAUAAUUUAAAGAAAAUUUUAUUUAUUGUACCUUGUGUAUCAGGGUUUAUUAAAUUAAUAUUAUAUAUUUAAUUUUCUCGAUUUUAUAAGAGUUAAUAAAUUAUAUUUUUUAUUGUGAAAUAAAUAUUAUUAAUAAUUUAUUGGAAAUGAAACGUUAUUCGUUUAUAAAUAUAUCUAGUUUUUGAAGAAAUAAGUUUAAUUUGUUAUUUUUAAAUAAUUAUUUAAUUGUAAAAUUAAUUAUUAUUAAAUAGUAUUAAUAGUUUUUAGGAUAAGCUAAAAAUUAAAUUUUUAUAAAAUUUAAUUAUUGUAUAUAAAGUAGGAUUAUAAAUUUCCAUCGCUUAUUUUGUUUUAAUUAGUUAUAUAUAAUUUGUAUUUAUAUAAAUUUUAAUUUUUUUAUUCAAAUGAUUUAUUUAAAUAAAAAUAUAAUCAAUAAUGAUAAAAUUAGUAUAAUUUAUUUUAAAUUUUUAUUAUAAAUUUUAGGUUAAAUAAAGGAAUUCGGCAAAUCUAAUUUUCGCCUGUUUAUUAAAAACAUGUCUUUUUGAUUAUAAUUUAAGGUUUAACCUGCCCGAUGAAAUUUGAAUGGCCGCAGUAUUUUGACUGUGCUAAGGUAGCAUAAUAAUUAGUUUUUUAAUUGGAAGCUAGAAUGAAUGGUUGGACGAGAAAUUAUCUGUCUCUAUUUAAUUUAAUUAAAAUUUUAUUUUUGAGUCAAAAAGCUUAAAUAAUAUUAAAAGACGAGAAGACCCUAUAGAGUUUUAUGCAAUAAAAUUAUUAAAUUUUUAGAAUUUAUAUUUUUAUAUUUUAAUUUGUAUUUUAUUGGGGUGAUAAAAAAAAUUAAUAAACUUUUUUAUAUUAAAACAUUAAUUUAUGGUUAAUUGAUCCAUUAUUAUGAUUAUAAGAUUAAAUUACCUUAGGGAUAACAGCGUUAUUUUUUUUGCGAGUUCUUAUCAAAAAAAAAGUUUGCGACCUCGAUGUUGGAUUAAAUUUUAUUAUUGGCGCAAAAGUUAAUAAAUUAGGUCUGUUCGACCUUUAGAAAUUUACAUGAUCUGAGUUUAAACCGGUGUGAGCCAGGUUGGUUUCUAUCUUUAAUAAAUUAUUAUAUUUUAGUACGAAAGGACCAAAUAU